Molecule: ribosomal RNA, 497 nt
Filed under: uncultured bacterium
Lineage: Bacteria
Description: partial 16S ribosomal RNA
Rfam family: Bacterial small subunit ribosomal RNA
Source: RNAcentral
GAUGAACGCUGGCGGCGUGCCUAAUACAUGCAAGUCGAGCGAACGGACGAGAAGCUUGCUUCUCUGAUGUUAGCGGCGGACGGGUGAGUAACACGUGGAUAACCUACCUAUAAGACUGGGAUAAACUCGGGAAACCGGAGCUAAUACCGGAUAAUAUUUUGAACCGCAUGGUUCAAAAGUGAAAGACGGUCUUGCUGUCACUUAUAGAUGGAUCCUCGCUGCAUUAGCUAGUUGGUAAGGUAACGGCUUACCAAGGUAACGAUGCAUAGCCGACCUGAGAGUCGGUUCGGCAACCCCGGAACGGCAAAACGGACCAGUCUCAUCGGGGAGGCGUCAGAAGCGAACAUUCCACAAUGGACGAAAGCCUGAUGAAGCAACCGCGAGUGGGUGACGAAGGUCGUUGGACCGUAAAACUAUAUUUUUAGGGAAGAACACAUGGCUACGAAACAGCGGACUGCAUGACCGUACCUAAACAAAAGGCGACGGCUAACUCCGGG